UACGGAGGGUGCGAGCGUUAUCCGGAAUCACUGGGCGUAAAGGGCGCGUAGGCGGCUUGUUAAGUCCGUUGUCAAAUGUCGAGGCUUAACCUCGGAACGGCAGUGGGUACUGGCAGGCUGGACGGCUGGAGAGGCGAGUGGAAUUACCAGUGUAGCGGUGGAAUGCGUAGAUACUGGUAGGAACACCCAUGGCGAAGGCAGCUCGCUGGACAGCUCGUGACGCUGAGGCGCGAAAGUGUGGGGAGCAAACCGG
RNAcentral lists this unclassified non-coding RNA (253 nucleotides) under uncultured Trueperaceae bacterium. Its description in RNAcentral is "contains 16S-23S intergenic spacer region". It matches the Rfam family "Bacterial small subunit ribosomal RNA", at positions 524 to 776 of the family's 1533-position model. Lineage: Bacteria; Thermotogati; Deinococcota; Deinococci; Trueperales; Trueperaceae. The record is from RNAcentral.